AACGUAGGACGCAAGCGUUAUCCGGAGUUACUGGGCGUAAAGCGCGGGCAGGCGGCUCGAUGCGUCUGAUGUGAAAUCUCCUCGCUCAACGGGGAGAGGCCAUUGGAAACGGUCGGGCUGGAGGGCAGUAGAGGCAGGCGGAAUUCCGGGUGGAGUGGUGAAACGCGUAGAGAUCCGGAGGAACACCAGAGGCGAAGGCGGCCUGCUGGGCUGCACCUGACGCUGAGCCGCGAAAGCCAGGGGAGCGAACGGG
Molecule: ribosomal RNA, 253 nt
Filed under: uncultured bacterium
Lineage: Bacteria
Description: partial 16S ribosomal RNA
Rfam family: Bacterial small subunit ribosomal RNA
Source: RNAcentral